GAUGAACGCUGGCGGCGUGCCUAAUACAUGCAAGUAGAACGCUGAAGCUUGGUGCUUGCACCGAGCGGAUGAGUUGCGAACGGGUGAGUAACGCGUAGGUAACCUGCCUCUUAGCGGGGGAUAACUAUUGGAAACGAUAGCUAAUACCGCAUAAAAGUCGAUAUCGCAUGAUAUUGAUUUGAAAGGUGCAAAUGCAUCACUAAGAGAUGGACCUGCGUUGUAUUAGCUAGUUGGUGAGGUAACGGCUCACCAAGGCGACGAUACAUAGCCGACCUGAGAGGGUGAUCGGCCACACUGGGACUGGGACACGGCCCAGACUCCUACGGGAGGCAGCAGUAGGGAAUCUUCGGCAAUGGGGGCAACCCUGACCGAGCAACGCCGCGGGAGGGAAGAAGGGUUUCGGAUCGUAAAGCUCUGUUGUAAGAGAAGAACGAGUGUGAGAGUGGAAAGUUCACACUGUGACGGUAACUUACCAGAAAGGGACGGCUAACUACGUG
This 497-nucleotide ribosomal RNA is filed under the name uncultured bacterium. RNAcentral describes it as "partial 16S ribosomal RNA". It matches the Rfam family "Bacterial small subunit ribosomal RNA", at positions 28 to 507 of the family's 1533-position model. The record is from RNAcentral.